GGAGCCUGAGAAACGGCUACCACAUCCAAGGAUGGCAGCAGGCGCGCAAAUUACCCAAUCCCGACACGGGGAGGUAGUGACAAUAAAUAACAAUACGGGGUUCUUUAGGAUCUCGUAAUUGGAAUGAGUACAAUUUAAAUCUCUUAACGAGGAACAAUUGGAGGGCAAGUCUGGUGCCAGCAGCCGCGGUAAUUCCAGCUCCAAUAGCGUAUAUUAAAGUUGUUGCAGUUAAAAAGCUCGUAGUUGAAUUUCGGGGUUAGUAGGUUGGUCAUGCCUCUGGUAUGUACUGGUCUCACUGAUUCCUCCUUCCUUAUGAACCGUAAUGCCAUUAAUUUGGUGUUGCGGGGAAUUUGGACUGUUACUUUGAAAAAAUUAGAGUGUUUAAAGCAAGCUAACGCUUGAAUACAUUAGCAUGGAAUAAUGAAAUAGGACGUUCGAUCUUAUUUUGUUGGUUUCUAGGAUUGACGUAAUGAUUAAUAGGGAUAGUUGGGGGCAUUAGUAUUCAAUUGUCAGAGGUGAAAUUCUUGGAUUUAUUGAGGACUAACUACUGCGAAAGCAUUUGCCAAGGAUGUUUUCAUUAAUCAAGAACGAAAGUUAGGGGAUCGAAGACGAUCAGAUACCGUCGUAGUCUUAACCAUAAACUAUGCCGACUAGGGAUCGGAUGAUGUUAAUUUUUUAAUGACUCAUUCGGCGCCUUACGGGAAAC
Molecule: ribosomal RNA, 706 nt
Filed under: uncultured fungus
Lineage: Eukaryota; Fungi
Description: SSU rRNA
Rfam family: Eukaryotic small subunit ribosomal RNA
Source: RNAcentral